This 377-nucleotide unclassified non-coding RNA is filed under the name uncultured Alphaproteobacteria bacterium. RNAcentral's name for it is "contains 16S-23S intergenic spacer region". The record is from RNAcentral. Lineage: Bacteria; Pseudomonadati; Pseudomonadota; Alphaproteobacteria.
UCCGGUUUGUCACCGUCAGUCUCCUUAGAGUUCCCACCAUCACGUGCUGGUAACUAAGGGCGAGGGUUGCGCUCGUUGCGGGACUUAACCCAACAUCUCACGACACGAGCUGACGACAGCCGUGCAGCACCUGUGUCCACGCCCCUUGCGGGGAGGAAUCCAUCUCUGGAAGCCGUCGUGACAUGUCAAGGGCUGGUAAGGUUCUUCGCGUUGCGUCGAAUUGAACCACAUGCUCCACCGCUUGUGCGGGCCCCCGUCAAUUCCUUUGAGUUUCGGUCUUGCGACCGUACUCCCCAGGCGGAGUGUUUCACGCGUUAGCUGGGCCCCUGAUCCACGUAGACCAAGGGCGAACACUCAUCGUUUACGGCAUGGACUAC